UGUUUUGUUUUUUGUAGGGCUCAUGGUAGGGGUAGUAGUAGGGCGAUUUCUAGAUCAAAGAGAAGAAAUGUGAUGGCUACUAGGAAGCACUUUAUGGAAAAGGGGAGGCAGGCAGAGCCUAUUAGGUCAAAGCCACAUUCAUAGGGGCUUGAUUUUUCUGUGUAGAUAUUAAGUUGUUGGAGUCAAAACGCAAUUGUUACUAGUAAGAGUGUUAGUAAGGUGCCAGUUGCUAAGGCUAAUGUUAGAUUAAUAACUUUUUCGGGUAAUGCUGAAACUAAUUGAUUGGAAGUCAAUUGUACUAUUUUAUACUAAAAGAGUAUGAUCCUUGUUAAUAGAUAGAAACAUAUAGGAAUAGUCAUACUACGUCUACAAAGUGCCAGUAUCAGGCUGAGGCUUCAAAUCCACAGUGGCAGUUAGAUGUACAGUGAAAUUUUAGUUGGCGGAGUAGGCAGACAGUAAGAAAUGUUGAUCCAGUAAUAAUGUGAAGCCUGUGAAAACCUGUGGCUAUGAAGAAUGUUGAGCUGUAAACUCCAUCGGAGAUAGUGAAAGGGACUUCAAAAUAUUCUGAGGCUUAUAGAUGUGUAAAGUAAACGCCUAGGGCAAUUGUGAGACAGUGCCUGAAGUAUGUAUUUUCGAUUACCUUCUAUUAAGCUUUGGUGAGCCCAAGUAAUUGAAACCCCGGAUGCAAGUAAAACAGAUGUAUUA
Nomascus leucogenys (northern white-cheeked gibbon) is the source of this 705-nucleotide long non-coding RNA. RefSeq lists it as uncharacterized. The transcript has 3 exons. Lineage: Eukaryota; Metazoa; Chordata; Mammalia; Primates; Hylobatidae. The record is from RefSeq and is a predicted model, not a curated record.